Molecule: long non-coding RNA, 1448 nt
Organism: Phacochoerus africanus (Common warthog)
Lineage: Eukaryota; Metazoa; Chordata; Mammalia; Artiodactyla; Suidae
Exons: 3
Source: RefSeq, a predicted model, not a curated record
GUCAUCAGGGAAACAGAGCUGCCAGGAUCAGCUGAAGCGCUGAGUCGUCCAUGUGCAAAUAAUGGUGCAGUGCUAAUCCAGCCCCCUGGACUGGUGGCAGUGGUCCCUCCCAUCCCUUGACCCUUCCCAAGCUCCCACCUGUCCCAGUGCUAUGUCAUCCAGCUCAGAGGCAACAGAAGGACAACACUGUGUGUUGGGAGACAGGUCUGCCCGGCGGGCACACAGCUGUCAAGUCGGCCCUUGGGAAGGGACCUCCCGAGGGGAGCCACAGCCUGCCAUGUCCUGCUGACACUGACUCUUUGCUGGUGAGCUUGCGCUUUCUCAGGAGGUCUCAAUGUCACCUAUUCCAGUAAAGAUUAUGUGUACCCGUGUCUUGUCUCCCAAAGAUGCUCUUCCUGUCCUGUGUACAGAGUCUCCUGGGGACAUUCCCCCCACCUGGGAAAUGGUCACCCACUUCUCUGUGCUACAGGAGCCAGGGGAUCCGAGCAAGGUGGAUUAACCAGCUCAGCUUGCCCAGUCGGAUUUCUCUCCCCGGGAAUUGGAAAUUGGAAUUUGGUGAGACUCCAUUGGCCCCCAAACUGAGGACUUAUAAUUAGAAACUGGAGAGGCAUCUGCCACCAUUGGCCAAAGAAGAAGAGAAAGCUGAUCUAUAUUCUCUAGAAGGCUCUUUUGCAGAGAGAGAAGAAUGAAACAGAGGAGCUGAGAGAAGUGGAGACUCGUGCAGUUCUGGAGAAGGGGCUGCAAGAGCCACUGUCUGGCCCAGCCCUGCGGGUCUGGUGCUGGCCCCUUGGCUCUAUGAGAGUCUCUGGACCAUUGGACGGUGGUGCCCAUUUUUGUUUAAGUAGAGUGGCUUUCUUACCACCAAACAAGCCUGAACUAAGGCCCUGCGCUUAAAAGGAAUCUCCGAGAUUGUUUCAUCAACACUCGCCAGUUUACAAUGAGGAUUCUGAGAUCCAGAGAGGUGCAGUGAGGUACCCUCGGCCAUAUAGCCUAUUCAUGACAAUGGUUUCCUGACUCCUGGGCCAGUGGUGCUCUGUGGCUCCCUGGGGCUGGCUGUACUUCCAAGGGCAAUAAGAUGAGAGAGAAGGAGGACAGACCUCAGGGGCCGCUGAAUCAGGACAUGCGUCAGUGGUGUGGCCACAGACUGAGCAGUGAGUCUGAAAGCUCCACCCCAGCUCCAACCACAGAGGACCCGGCAGGUGAAGCAGGUGGAGGCAAUGGAGCAGGAUGGGAAGAGAAAGAUGGCCCAGGAAGGACCCUUAAGAAUAGAGACACGGUCAGGUGAGGUCACCCCAAAUCCUUUCUGAUGGGAAGCACCUUGGACCUUUCGAUUUCCUGGAAGCGGCCAGUGAAAUCCCACUCCAUCUUCAUGUUCACCUGAGAAGGGGGUGAAUUAACUCCGCCCAAAGGACAAUUUAAAAGGACAAUAGAGGCAUUCCCAUCGUGGC